GAUGAAGAACGCAGCGAAAUGCGAUACGUAAUGUGAAUUGCAAAUUCAGUGAAUCAUCGAGUCUUUGAACGCACAUUGCGCCCCCUGGUAUUCCGGGGGGCAUGCCUGUCCGAGCGUCAUUGCUGCCCUCAAGCACGGCUUGUGUGUUGGGCCCCGUCCUCCGAUCCCGGGGGACGGGCCCGAAAGGCAGCGGCGGCACCGCGUCCGGUCCUCGAGCGUAUGGGGCUUUGUCACCCGCUCUGUAGGCCCGGCCGGCGCUUGCCGAUCAACCCAAAUUUUUAUCCAGGUUGACCUCGCAUCAGGUAGGGAUACCCGCUGAACUUAAGCAUAUCAAUAAGCGGAGGA
RNAcentral lists this unclassified non-coding RNA (345 nucleotides) under soil metagenome. RNAcentral describes it as "partial contains 5.8S ribosomal RNA, internal transcribed spacer 2, and large subunit ribosomal RNA". The stretch from base 1 to 119 matches the Rfam family "5.8S ribosomal RNA", at positions 35 to 154 of the family's 154-position model. The record is from RNAcentral.